GACGAACGCUGGCGGCGUGCUUAACACAUGCAAGUCGAACGGAAAGGCCCUGCUUUUGUGGGGUGCUCGAGUGGCGAACGGGUGAGUAACACGUGAGUAACCUGCCCUUGACUUUGGGAUAACUUCAGGAAACUGGGGCUAAUACCGGAUAGGAGCUCCUGCUGCAUGGUGGGGGUUGGAAAGUUUCGGCGGUUGGGGAUGGACUCGCGGCUUAUCAGCUUGUUGGUGGGGUAGUGGCUUACCAAGGCUUUGACGGGUAGCCGGCCUGAGAUGGUGACCGGCCACAUUGGGACUGAGAUACGGCCCAGACUCCUACGGGAGUCAGCAGUGGGGAAUAUUGCACAAUGGGCGGAAGCCUGAUGCAGCAACGCCGCGUGCGGGAUGACGGCCUUCGGGUUGUAAACCGCUUUCGCCUGUGACGAAGCGUGAGUGACGGUAAUGGGUAAAGAAGCACCGGCUAACUACGUG
This 468-nucleotide ribosomal RNA is filed under the name uncultured bacterium. Its description in RNAcentral is "partial 16S ribosomal RNA". It matches the Rfam family "Bacterial small subunit ribosomal RNA", at positions 28 to 507 of the family's 1533-position model. The record is from RNAcentral.